This 1012-nucleotide long non-coding RNA is filed under the name Bos indicus x Bos taurus (hybrid cattle). RNAcentral's name for it is "lncRNA (ENSBIXG00000011550.1)". The record is from RNAcentral. Lineage: Eukaryota; Metazoa; Chordata; Mammalia; Artiodactyla; Bovidae.
UGCAGAGUGGUACCAGGCAGGGAGUACUUCCUUGGAAGGAAUUUUAAAGCAGCCUGGGUUGGCAAAGGGCAUGCGAAGAACCAAUCACGCUUGAACGUGUGUGCACAGUGGGGUAAGUGCCUCGCCAACUGUGACUUUUCCGUGUGUCUUCAACAGUCUCUGCUAACCUUUGCAAUUUAAUUCCCCACAGGAAGAAAACAAUACCACUUAAAGUGUUCUUUCGAUGUUCAACCCAACUUUCCCUUCGGAUUCUUGAGCCUGGAUACCCUUUAGAAGCACAUACAAAGCAAACUCCAGUCUUUGAGAGCAUCAAGACUCGGCUCUUUCAGCCCGGAUAUGACUGAUGCAGCUUGACAGGCUCCUCCACCUAGAGCAGCUGCGAAGUCCCAGGGACUGAGUAAUGUGAUUUGGGGCAGGUUUUUCUUCGGUGCCUUGCGAUGAGGAACCAGCUUAACAAGCAGUCAUGUCUGAGUUCUCACUUCACCGCAAACCUUGCUUGAGGACUUCAGAGCUUUAAAGGGCUCUGUUCCCAGAGGAGAAGCAGGAGAAGGCACCUAGAGCCCUGUUCUAUCACUAUUGAUAAUUUCAUCUCCAGGCCAAACACUGCCAACCAGGACCCACAGUGUGCAAACGGGAUCUCCAGCGUCCUGAGCAAAGCCAAGAUCUGAGCAGAAAGGCCCACCGAAGAAGAUUCCUUUUGAAGAUGAUCAAGGAGACAAAGGGAGAGAGAGACACAGGUUCCAGGCAAGUGGACCGGUGGGGCAGAGAUUCCCACCCUCCUCUCAGGAAAGAAUCGACGUGGCUAGAGAGGAAUGUGAGAAGAAAUGGGGGGAAGGGAGAGCAACGAAAGCUAUUUAUCUCGCAGCAGCCUUGGGAGAGGAGUAAAGGAGGAGGGGCCGAGUUUCAAAACAACUUGCGGACUUAAGAGACUAUAACAAUGGCGGAGGCAAGAUGAUUUAAAGUCAGAUAGAUUAAUAAUAAACUUGAUUAUCCUGAAUGGUUUUCUUUAGCC